GCGGCUUCGGCUGUCACUUAUGGAUGGACCCGCGUCGCAUUAGCUAGUUGGUGAGGUAACGGCUCACCAAGGCAACGAUGCGUAGCCGACCUGAGAGGGUGAUCGGCCACACUGGGACUGAGACACGGCCCAGACUCCUACGGGAGGCAGCAGUAGGGAAUCUUCCGCAAUGGACGAAAGUCUGACGGAGCAACGCCGCGUGAGUGAUGAAGGCUUUCGGGUCGUAAAACUCUGUUGUUAGGGAAGAACAAGUGCUAGUUGAAUAAGCUGGCACCUUGACGGUACCUAACCAGAAAGCCACGGCUAACUACGUGCCAGCAGCCGCGGUAAUACGUAGGUGGCAAGCGUUAUCCG
RNAcentral lists this ribosomal RNA (354 nucleotides) under Bacillus cereus. RNAcentral's name for it is "bacterial SSU rRNA". It matches the Rfam family "Bacterial small subunit ribosomal RNA", at positions 202 to 547 of the family's 1533-position model. The record is from RNAcentral. Lineage: Bacteria; Bacillati; Bacillota; Bacilli; Caryophanales; Bacillaceae.